This 747-nucleotide long non-coding RNA is filed under the name Heterocephalus glaber (naked mole-rat). RNAcentral describes it as "lncRNA (ENSHGLG00000032030.1)". Lineage: Eukaryota; Metazoa; Chordata; Mammalia; Rodentia; Bathyergidae. The record is from RNAcentral.
GUGGACACCGCACUGGGUUUCUUCUCCAAUUCUAACCUGCUGUGAAGAAGUCACAUUUUAAGUGAAACCCUGGGCUGUUCUAGUUUACCAUAACUUGGGGUUUUGCUGGAUCUGGAGCUCCUGGCCAAGUCUGUUACUUCUCCCUGGAGUUGCCAUCCUCCAGGACGUACCUUCUCUCAAGUCAGUUGGUCUAGUCCACUGUCAGUGUGCUUCUUGGUUGGAGCCUCCGCUGCCAAGUGCUGAGGGGAAACAAAACAGAGCUUGGAGGUGAUUAGUGUGCAGUCCACAGAAAUCCUUCUGCUGUUCUCAUUUACUUGAUGAAUGAAAUCUCCCAGGGUAAAGAGCCUUCGGGUGCUGGACUUGUCAGGUGUGGAGAAGUAUAAUAACCAGGGUCAGCAGACUCAGUGACAAGAACACCACUUCUGUGCCUCAAAGAUGACAUCUUCCCAUUGUGUCUUCAUGUGAUGGAAGAGUCGGGUGUGAUCAACCUGGGAUGCAGAAGAUGGUCCUUCAGCUUGGCUUCUGCAUCUGGCAUCGAAAAGGUACAAAAUGAAGGAUCCAGUCGCCAAAGUCAGGACUGUGAGGGGAAAGCAGUCCAGGCUGCAGUGAGCUCAACCCUUAAUCAGAGCCCCAAGGUGUGAGGGCAAGAAGAACCCCAGCAUCAGUAAAUGUGCAGGUGUCUUUAAGAAUGACUGCUUGAUCUGACCAUCUGCCUCGUUCACGAAUAGCUGUGGUGUAGCAUCUGAU